GUGAGGAAUUUUCCGCAAUGGGCGAAAGCCUGACGGAGCAAUGCCGCGUGAAGGAUGAAGGCCUAUGGGUUGUAAACUUCUUUUCUUAGAGAAGAAUAUUGACGGUAUCUGAGGAAUAAGCAUCGGCUAACUCCGUGCCAGCAGCCGCGGUAAUACGGAGGGGGCUAGCGUUGUUCGGAAUUACUGGGCGUAAAGCGCACGUAGGCGGAUCAGAAAGUCAGAGGUGAAAUCCCAGGGCUCAACCUUGGAACUGCCUUUGAAACUCCUGAUCUUGAGGUCGAGAGAGGUGAGUGGAAUUCCGAGUGUAGAGGUGAAAUUCGUAGAUAUUCGGAGGAACACCAGUGGCGAAGGCGGCUCACUGGCUCGAUACUGACGCUGAGGUGCGAAAGCGUGGGGAGCAAACAGGAUUAGAAACCCCUGUAGUCC
This 426-nucleotide ribosomal RNA is filed under the name uncultured bacterium. RNAcentral's name for it is "partial 16S ribosomal RNA". It matches the Rfam family "Bacterial small subunit ribosomal RNA", at positions 354 to 796 of the family's 1533-position model. The record is from RNAcentral.